RNAcentral lists this ribosomal RNA (301 nucleotides) under uncultured bacterium. RNAcentral's name for it is "partial 16S ribosomal RNA". It matches the Rfam family "Bacterial small subunit ribosomal RNA", at positions 509 to 807 of the family's 1533-position model. The record is from RNAcentral.
CAGUCGCCACGGUAAUACGAAGGGGGCUAGCGUUGUUCGGAUUUACUGGGCGUAAAGCGCACGUAGGCGGACUUUUAAGUCAGGGGUGAAAUCCCGGGGCUCAACCCCGGAACUGCCUUUGAUACUGGAAGUCUUGAGUAUGGUAGAGGUGAGUGGAAUUCCGAGUGUAGAGGUGAAAUUCGUAGAUAUUCGGAGGAACACCAAUGGCGAAGGCGGCUCACUGGACCAUUACUGACGCUGAGGUGCGAAAGCGUGGGGAGCAAACAGGAUUAGAUACCCCGGUAGUCCCUGUCUCUUAUAC